Molecule: long non-coding RNA, 600 nt
Organism: Lagenorhynchus albirostris (white-beaked dolphin)
Lineage: Eukaryota; Metazoa; Chordata; Mammalia; Artiodactyla; Delphinidae
Exons: 4
Source: RefSeq, a predicted model, not a curated record
CUAAAAUCCGAUGAAGUGAGAAGACUACCUUUUUUGACAGUCCUUUCAUCUUCACUCUCCAACUAAAGUUUGAGAGAAAGAAUUAUUGAAAUUCAAUAAAGAAUUAUGGCAAUCCCAGCCUUCACUCCCCUUGAUGCCCCAUAGGAAGAGUGAGGAGGAAUGCAUUGAAAACUAAUAGACUCUAAGCCUCUGUUUGAAGAAGAUCCACGAUAUGCAAAGAAGCCAUAAUGAGAGGGGAUGCUGAUGGGGACUCAAGUGGGAGUGCGCCAGAAUAAACUUGGCUGCCCUGUGAGUUUAUCUAGGACUUGCGAUCAACAAACUGAAUAUUGGAAUCAUUAAGAAGAACUCUGGAAUGAAGCUCUUGUUAUCCUUAGUUGAGAGAAGAAGAAAGUGAACUUAAUUUGUGUCCUAGGAAAUAUGAGCAUGAAUACAGAUGAUAGUAUUAUUUUUAAUAGAGAAAAACAGUGCUGUAAAUAACUCAAGUGGAAGAAGUUUAAAAACAACAAAAAUGAAUCAAAAUCCAAAGAUUAGAGUAUCAGAAGAUUUUUGUGUGUUACCUGCAAAAAAGAACAGAUCUGGGCUACUCUCUUUACAAGGCUU